GGAAGGUCACAUGACACCUGGGCACAGAAGCCGAAAGACAAUCUAUUCCUGACUCCAACUCCCAGCUGCACAGAAAGGAAAAGAAAACACCUGACUGCAGCUGAGAACGGGUCUCUCCAGGUCUUAACAACCCAUCUCGCUGUUUAGCGAAGUUCCACGCUGGAGGGAGUAGCGGGUGGGCAUGCCCCGCCCCCCUGGGGUGCUGGAGACCCGGGACUUUGCAGAAACAGCCCCCGAGGGGCAAGGGCGCCUGGUCGGCGGAUCUGUUCACUGUCGUCUCAGUGCCAGCUCGGCUCUGCGUCUUGGGACCCAGAGUGAAGACACCGUGGUUCCCGCCCUCUUACAGUCCGAGCGUCAUUUUCUGGGCGGGGUCACCCAGGCCCCACGAGGGGAAGGGGCUGGCCCCAGCUCCGUCAGUGAUCCGGAGGCAGCCAGGGCUAGUGGGAGGAGAGCUAUACGGCCUUGACUUCUCGGGCCCGCGGUUCAGGACCCUGACGAUGGCUGUAGCAGGCAUGCUAGGUACUCCUCACCCUCGGAGCUCCAUCCAAGUUCCUCCUAUGUGUUGGUCUGCUUCAUCCCCACCACACCCACAUGAGGUAGCCGGGGCCCUACUGCCAAAAGAAUGGAUCCGGCUGCCCAGAAGUUGGCAGGAGGGAGAGAGCAAUGGACAGGGAGGGAUGAUGGCUCAGCUGACCUCUUCCCACCAGAGAGGAAUCACAGGCCACCGCAGCUGAGCCCCUGACCCACUGGGUGACCUUCCUCCCGGCCUUACCAAGAUCAGCUGGGGCGGCGAUGAUGACUUUAGCACCUGACACCCCAGGUUUUCUAAGGAGGAAAAUGCCUUGAAGUGGGUAGGGCUUGAGGAAAGGACCAGAAAAGGGAGAGCUGGCAUCACCCAGACGACUGUGACACCCCGGCCCCUCUGGAACGGUCCCUACCUCUGUGCCACCUAACUGUGCUUUGGUUAAAAUGAACUCUCAGGUCCCAGACGCCGAGGCAGCAAAGGAGAUCCAGCUACUGGCCCGCCAGUGGCCCCCCCACUUCGUCCUUCAUCCCCGUGGCCUGUGUCAAUCCCACCCAAAGGGGUCCCGCCAGGCUGAGCACUCCAGGCAGGGGCAUCUCCCCUGGAGGAGAAGGGCUGACAGUCGGUCCAGAAGGGACAUCACAUCCAUUUGACCUUCUCCUGCUCCCAAGGCACUGGAGAGGACCCCGCCAUCCGGUAAAACCUCUGACGGUCACGGAUAAAACAGAGGUCUGCCUGUUAGCUGUGUGACCUUGGGGAAGUGGCCUGACCUCUCUCAGCUUGUAUCUUUAUCUAUAAAGUGGGGAAAACAUGCCUUCCUCCCAGGUCAGUCACCAACUUAAGGGUGGUGCUCACGAGUGAAGCAAGUGCAGUGGGCGCUCAGUAAACGGGAGUUCUCAUCAUUUCAUGGUUGUUUAAAAAUGGACCUGCAGCCUGUGCAGAAUUAAAAGCCAUCUCAUCUUUCUGUACUGUUUCCACAAUAUUACGCUGAUGACAUCAGGGGAUUACGGGUCUGAAUCUGGCAUUUCGGUCUAAGUCCUGGCUUCCGGCCCUGGUGUGACCUUGGGUGAGUGAUUUUUUACCCCUCAGAGCCUGGGUUUCCUCCUCUAUAAAAGAGGACGAUCAUAAUCCCACCUCCUCGUGGGGUUUUUUAUGCAAGUUUCAUGAAAUGAUGCCUGUGAGCGCUCAGCUUGGUGUCUGUCAGUUGGCCAGGCACUCCAUCACUGUCUGGGAUUCUUGUUUCUGUUAUUACUAGACUGGGACCCCACAGGAUACAAAGUGAGUGGUUUCCUGGACCCUGGCACCCUCAGAGCAACCCUGUGAGGCUAGGAUUUUCACCUUCAUGCCGAAGAGGAAACCAAGGCUCAGCAGGUCUCUGGUCUGGAGGUCCGUAGGGAGCAGGGGCCAUGAGGGGUGGUGCAGGGCCUGUCUGCUCUCCUGGGGUACAGCUGCGGGAAGGCAGAGGACGUCUCUCUCCUGCUGCCCGGGCGGGCCCAGCAUCCCACCCUCUGGCUCCUGCACACACCAUCUCCUCCAGACCCAGAGGGCAGAUCCUCUCCUGAGACUUCCCGGGGCGGGCAGAGAAGGGUCCAGGAGCCCCACAGUCACGUGGCCUCGAGUGACCUCCUCUUCUCGGGGCCUUGGUUUCUCCAUCUGAGUGUGACUCACACCGGAAGAGUGAACCCUGACCCCACCACUGACCCGGACGGGGCUUGAACACAUCACUUCCCUCUUCUUAGCUUCCGUGUCUUUGCCUACAAACAGGAGCCAACGGAUGGGUGUGAUAAGGGGGUGUUAAGUGAAAAAACGAGAGUAAAGCUGUA
Bos taurus (domestic cattle) is the source of this 2346-nucleotide long non-coding RNA. Lineage: Eukaryota; Metazoa; Chordata; Mammalia; Artiodactyla; Bovidae. The record is from Ensembl.